Molecule: ribosomal RNA, 832 nt
Filed under: uncultured bacterium
Lineage: Bacteria
Description: bacterial SSU rRNA
Rfam family: Bacterial small subunit ribosomal RNA
Source: RNAcentral
AGAGUUUGAUCCUGGCUCAGGACGAACGCUGGCGGCGUGCUUAACACAUGCAAGUCGAACGAGAGCGUAGAGAAAGCUUGCUUUUUCUACAAUCUAGUGGCAAACGGGUGAGUAACGCGUAAACAACCUGCCCUACGGAUGGGGACAACAGCUGGAAACGGCUGCUAAUACCGAAUACGUUCCGAAAGUCGCAUGACUGUCGGAAGAAAGGAUGGCCUCUAUUUAUAAGCUAUCGCCGGAGGAGGGGUUUGCGUCUGAUUAGCUAGUUGGGGGGGUAACGGCCCACCAAGGCGACGAUCAGUAGCCGGUCUGAGAGGAUGAACGGCCACAUUGGAACUGAGACACGGUCCAGACUCCUACGGGAGGCAGCAGUGGGGAAUCUUCCGCAAUGGGCGAAAGCCUGACGGAGCAACGCCGCGUGAGUGAAGACGGCCUUCGGGUUGUAAAGCUCUGUUAUACGGGACGAAUAGUCUUGUGGUUAAUACCCAUGAGAAGUGACGGUACCGUAAGAGAAAGCCACGGCUAACUACGUGCCAGCAGCCGCGGUAAUACGUAGGUGGCAAGCGUUGUCCGGAAUUAUUGGGCGUAAAGGGCGCGCAGGCGGCUUCUUAAGUCUGUCUUAAAAGUGCGGGGCUUAACCCCGUGAUGGGAUGGAAACUGGGAAGCUCAGAGUAUCGGAGAGGAAAGCGGAAUUCCUAGUGUAGCGGUGAAAUGCGUAGAUAUUAGGAGGAACACCAGUGGCGAAAGCGGCUUUCUGGACGAAAACUGACGCUGAGGCGCGAAAGCCAGGGGAGCGAACGGGAUUAGAUACCCCGGUAGUCCUGGCCGUAAA